This 413-nucleotide ribosomal RNA is filed under the name uncultured bacterium. RNAcentral describes it as "bacterial SSU rRNA". It matches the Rfam family "Bacterial small subunit ribosomal RNA", at positions 505 to 916 of the family's 1533-position model. The record is from RNAcentral.
GUGCCAGCAGCCGCGGUAAUACGUAGGUGACAAGCGUUGUCCGGAUUUACUGGGUGUAAAGGGCGUGCAGGCGGGAUAGCAAGUCAGUCGUGAAAUGCCGAGGCUUAACCUCGGAGCUGCGAUUGAAACUGUUAUUCUUGAGUAUCGGAGAGGAAAGCGGAAUUCCCAGUGUAGCGGUGAAAUGCGUAGAUAUUGGGAGGAACACCAGUGGCGAAGGCGGCUUUCUGGACGACAACUGACGCUGAGACGCGAAAGUGUGGGGAGCAAACAGGAUUAGAUACCCUGGUAGUCCACACCGUAAACGAUGGAUACUAGGUGUUGGAGGUAUCGACUCCUUCAGUGCCGCAGUAAACACAAUAAGUAUCCCACCUGGGGAGUACGACCGCAAGGUUGAAACUUAAAGGAAUUGACGG